RNAcentral lists this ribosomal RNA (497 nucleotides) under uncultured bacterium. RNAcentral's name for it is "partial 16S ribosomal RNA". It matches the Rfam family "Bacterial small subunit ribosomal RNA", at positions 28 to 507 of the family's 1533-position model. The record is from RNAcentral.
GAUGAACGCUGGCGGCGUGCCUAAUACAUGCAAGUAGAACGCUGAAGGAAGGAGCUUGCUCUUUCCGGAUGAGUUGCGAACGGGUGAGUAACGCGUAGGUAACCUGCCUGGUAGCGGGGGAUAACUAUUGGAAACGAUAGCUAAUACCGCAUAACAGUAGAUGUUGCAUGAUAUCUACUUAAAAGGUGCAAUUGCACCACUACCAGAUGGACCUGCGUUGUAUUAGCUAGUUGGUGAGGUAACGGCUCACCAAGGCGACGAUACAUAGCCGACCUGAGAGGGUGAUCGGCCACACUGGGACUGAGACGCGGCCCAGACUCCUACGGGAGGCAGCAGUAGGGAAUCUUCGGCAAUGGACGGAAGUCUGACCGAGCAACGCCGCGUGAGUGAAGAAGGUUUUCGGAUCGUAAAGCUCUGUUGUAAGAGAAGAACGAGUGUGAGAGUGGAAAGUUCACACUGUGACGGUAGCUUACCAGAAAGGGACGGCUAACUACGUG